RNAcentral lists this long non-coding RNA (1066 nucleotides) under Marmota monax (woodchuck). Lineage: Eukaryota; Metazoa; Chordata; Mammalia; Rodentia; Sciuridae. The record is from RNAcentral.
GGCCGCGCAGCCCGAGCGCCCCCAAGCGGUGGCGGGUCUGCGCGGGCCGCGCCCCCGGCGCCGGGGAUUCGGGGAUCCUGGCGUGGGAAGCGGCGCGCUCUGCUAAUAAAUCGGCUUGCGCUCGCGGGGCCCGCAGGUCAACUAUCAUCAUUACACUCAGACUCACUGAGAUUAGGUUAUAAGAAGGCAGCUGGAAUCGCCCGAGUCGCUGUGGGAGCGUCAGUGAGUAACAGCCAGGCCAGCUGAGCCGGCAUGGAAAUACGUUCAGACUCCGGACUUGUUUAUCUCGGGGCUCUUAGCUCCGUCCACUGUUCUGCUCAGAACAUCAGACUCCUAGAUGUGUGCUCAGUCCCGCUUCCUUGCUUCCUCCGAAAGCCUCACUCCUGGGAAACGGGAUCUCUCCUGCAACUAGGGUCCACGACGAGGGUCCUACGGGCUGGGGGCGGGGCCACUUGGCCCCGGGAACAAUGAGGCCAUUGCCUCUUCUGCGUGCUGCGGGCCGGAUAUCCGUUCUGAAGGCGGCUCUGGGCUUUCUCUGUCCAGAAGGAGGAAACCUUCGGUCACCAGGGCUGCAAGGAAAUAGCAGGGAGGUGCCCCGAGGAACGGAGAACAAUUAUGCAUGGAGAAUAUAAAGAAAUGAGCAAACUUUCCUGGCCUUGGACAGCGAUUCCAGUUAUCCGGGAUUAUCUUCUUUCCUGGUGUAAAUACCUUCAUGCCACCAUUCCCUAGUGUCUGGAUUUGGGUCAGUGGGCCUCACUUAACUUCUCUGCAAAGUAGGGCCAAGUGGUUUGCCUGUCAGAAGGCAGAGAGCUGAACAGAUAACUCCUUAGGCAACUUGCAGCCCUCCAGGAAAUAUUAUUCUGAGUUUUGCCACCUAUCCACAUGCCCAGAGCACUAAUUUGUGAUGAAAGGGACUCUAUUAGGAAGAAAGUCUCUUAAAAGCUGCAGCAUAUUAAAAUCCAUCAACUUUAGGGCUCGGGCUGUAGCUCAAUGGCCUAGCGUGUGUGAGGCGCUGGGUUGGAUCCUUAGCACCACAUAAAAAUAAAUCAAAUAAAGGCAUCUGUUC